CAACAAAAACCAAAGUGCUGACAUUACAGGUGUGAGCCCCUGCCCAUCCCAGAAUUUUGUUUUUAGUUUACGCUAACCGGCUUCCAAAAUUGUUUAGGUCCUCUCAUAUCUCCCUAGUAUACAUCACUCUGAGUGGGUUUUUCUGGAUGGACCCCUGGCUGAUACACUGGCACAGAGAGAGGAUACCCCAUCUGGAGCAGACAAGGCACAAGCCAAGAGGGAUCUGGGAACCAGACCUGAGGGAGGAAAAAAAUGGAUACUCAAGGUGUCCUGGCCAGGGCAGCAGAAGGGCAGGUGGUUGCUCCAUGUUCCUAAGCCCGACUGUGCCUUCCCAUUCGAGCUGGACUUCCCCUCGGGAUUGCGGUUUUCAGAACCUUCUCGACCAGUGUGGAGAAACCAUAGAAACCACACGGAAGGUAAUUUGAGUGGAAAGCAGUGUGUAAUUCACCAUCUUCACCUUCCCAACGUCCUGAUGAUCAAGGAAGCCACUGCUGAGAGGACACCGCUGCCAGCCUGGGCCCUGAGUGGUGGCAGCAGCAAAGAUGGCCCGCAGCCCCACCUUGGACAUGUAGCAAAAGGUCUGCAGGAUGGACCCCCGCAGCUGGUACCCUGUGUGAGGAUCACUACAAAGGAAGCACGAAGGACCCCCUGAAAAUGAAGGUCCUCUUUAGAUUCCAGCAUGAUGCAUCAAACCAUACCAUGGUGUGUCCGGAAUUGGUGGGUUCUUGGUCUCACUGACUUCAAGAAUGAAGCCAUGGACCCCCGCAGUGAG
Molecule: non-coding RNA, 772 nt
Organism: Macaca mulatta (Rhesus monkey)
Lineage: Eukaryota; Metazoa; Chordata; Mammalia; Primates; Cercopithecidae
Source: RefSeq, a predicted model, not a curated record